CGAGCGGAUGACAGGAGCUUGCUCCUGAAUUCAGCGGCGGACGGGUGAGUAAUGCCUAGGAAUCUGCCUGGUAGUGGGGGACAACGUUUCGAAAGGAACGCUAAUACCGCAUACGUCCUACGGGAGAAAGCAGGGGACCUUCGGGCCUUGCGCUAUCAGAUGAGCCUAGGUCGGAUUAGCUAGUUGGUGAGGUAAUGGCUCACCAAGGCGACGAUCCGUAACUGGUCUGAGAGGAUGAUCAGUCACACUGGAACUGAGACACGGUCCAGACUCCUACGGGAGGCAGCAGUGGGGAAUAUUGGACAAUGGGCGAAAGCCUGAUCCAGCCAUGCCGCGUGUGUGAAGAAGGUCUUCGGAUUGUAAAGCACUUUAAGUUGGGAGGAAGGGUUGUAGAUUAAUACUCUGCAAUUUUGACGUUACCGACAGAAUAAGCACCGGCUAACUCUGUGCCAGCAGCCGCGGUAAUACAGAGGGUGCAAGCGUUAAUCGGAAUUACUGGGCGUAAAGCGCGCGUAGGUGGUUCGUUAAGUUGGAUGUGAAAUCCCCGGGCUCAACCUGGGAACUGCAUUCAAAACUGUCGAGCUAGAGUAUGGUAGAGGGUGGUGGAAUUUCCUGUGUAGCGGUGAAAUGCGUAGAUAUAGGAAGGAACACCAGUGGCGAAGGCGACCACCUGGACUGAUACUGACACUGAGGUGCGAAAGCGUGGGGAGCAAACAGGAUUAGAUACCCUGGUAGUCCACGCCGUAAACGAUGUCAACUAGCCGUUGGGAGCCUUGAGCUCUUAGUGGCGCAGCUAACGCAUUAAGUUGACCGCCUGGGGAGUACGGCCGCAAGGUUAAAACUCAAAUGAAUUGACGGGGGCCCGCACAAGCGGUGGAGCAUGUGGU
Molecule: ribosomal RNA, 887 nt
Filed under: Pseudomonas sp. CB 286451
Lineage: Bacteria; Pseudomonadati; Pseudomonadota; Gammaproteobacteria; Pseudomonadales; Pseudomonadaceae
Description: bacterial SSU rRNA
Rfam family: Bacterial small subunit ribosomal RNA
Source: RNAcentral